RNAcentral lists this long non-coding RNA (528 nucleotides) under Dermacentor andersoni. Its description in RNAcentral is "uncharacterized LOC126525805". Lineage: Eukaryota; Metazoa; Arthropoda; Arachnida; Ixodida; Ixodidae. The record is from RNAcentral.
GCCAGCAUUGUCUAACAGAAUAUUUAAGGUAACCUUCCUGCAGGAUCCGACACUUGUUCUUGUGUGUACGAAAGCUAUGGCGAAGAUUUACGCGUGGAACAUCUUGGUAAUUUUGACCGUAUUGGCCAUUCUGUGUGCUGCUCGACAAGGAGUCGAUGCAUUGAAGCCUCGACGUUCAACUGGGGGAUCGUGUGGAAGGGGACUUGGGCGGCACAAAACUCCUCGUACUCCUCCCACAAAGACCCUUAGGCCUUGGACUGGCGGAUAACACGUGGACAAGGACAGCAACAUUAGGAAGAAUUCAACGAGAAUCUUCGUGCAACGAACUCGAUCGUGCAGGUGCUGAAGAUCAUCAGACCUGAAGAAACACGCUACAGAUUAUAUGAGGAAUGGUUCACACGCCUUGGCACCCACUCUAAGAAAAACUGCGCAUAAGUGCUUGCUUAGUCCUGCCUAACUAUGAGUUACUGCAUGCCAGUCCAGCUUUUUUACGUGACGUAUCAAAUAUAAAUAAUCGCUCAACCUUUG